AUUUCGGUCCUGCGCAAUAAAAACCCGUGAACCGUGUCAGGUUGGGAACAAAGCAGCACUAAGCGGGAUCUUUUAUGUGACGCAGGGAUUCCGGGACCGA
This 100-nucleotide signal recognition particle RNA is filed under the name Lachnospiraceae bacterium. Its description in RNAcentral is "signal recognition particle sRNA small type". It matches the Rfam family "Bacterial small signal recognition particle RNA". Rfam says of the family: The signal recognition particle (SRP) is a universally conserved ribonucleoprotein involved in the co-translational targeting of proteins to membranes. Archaeal SRP consists of a 7S RNA and homologues of the eukaryotic SRP19 and SRP54 proteins. Lineage: Bacteria; Bacillati; Bacillota; Clostridia; Lachnospirales; Lachnospiraceae. The record is from RNAcentral.